Molecule: ribosomal RNA, 299 nt
Filed under: uncultured archaeon
Lineage: Archaea
Description: partial 16S ribosomal RNA
Rfam family: Archaeal small subunit ribosomal RNA
Source: RNAcentral
UUCCGGUUGAUCCUGCCAGACCCGACUGCUAUCAGAGUGGGACUAAGCCAUGCGAGUCAACGUAGAAAUACGUGGCAAACGGCUCAGUAACACGUAGUCAACAUGCCCAGGGGACGUGGAUAACCUCGGGAAACUGAGGAUAAACCGCGAUAGGCCAUGAUUUCUGGAAUGGUUCAUGGCCGAAAUCUAUAUGGCCCCUGGAUUGGACUGCGGCCGAUCAGGCUGUUGGUGAGGUAAUGGCCCACCAAACCUGUAACCGGUACGGGCUCUGAGAGGAGGAGCCCNGAGAUGGGCACUGA